Molecule: ribosomal RNA, 301 nt
Filed under: uncultured bacterium
Lineage: Bacteria
Description: partial 16S ribosomal RNA
Rfam family: Bacterial small subunit ribosomal RNA
Source: RNAcentral
CAGUAGCCGCGGGAAUACGUAGGGUGCGAGCGUUAAUCGGAAUUACUGGGCGUAAAGCGUGCGCAGGCGGUUGUGUAAGACAGGUGUGAAAUCCUCGGGCUUAACCUGGGAACUGCGCUUGUGACUGCACAGCUAGAGUAUGGCAGAGGGGGGUGGAAUUCCACGUGUAGCAGUGAAAUGCGUAGAGAUGUGGAGGAACACCGAUGGCGAAGGCAGCCCCCUGGGCCAAUACUGACGCUCACGCACGAAAGCGUGGGGAGCAAACAGGAUUAGAUACCCGCGUAGUCCCUGUCUCUUAUAC